GUAGGAAGGCAGUCCUAGGCAAAUCGACCUUAGGAACGGAAGGUCUUGGUACUCUGCAGAGGAAGCGGGAAGGGAGAAGCAAACGGAGGGAGGAAAGAAGGAUGAGAAGGACCUAGCGGGAUGGGAAACUAGUGGAAGAAGGGCCAGUUUCGGUUACCUGGGGAGCGGGAGCAACUUCGGGUCCUUUAUGAAGUGCCCGGAGGAAGUUCCAGCACUCACGCGCCUUCCGCAUUGAGUGCAGCGCCAUCUUGAGAAGGGCGGAGCCGUCUAGUCUUGAGUGACAUCUGCUCAGAGGCGAAGUCCCAGUUUCGCAGCGUUUUUGCUUGUUGCGCAUGCGCCCUUCCCCUCGGGGCGGGCCUUUGUGCUGGUGCCUGGGGGAGUCCGGCCUUCGCUGAGCAGGUCGCGGGGUCAGGAACGGGGUGGGGCUUGGCUUUAGUAUUUGCCCUGGAGACCUAAUAUUUCCGCAGGUUUUGUGAAGGGACAGUCUCCUACGAGGAUAUUAGUAGCAGUGUUUUUUAAACUGGAAGAAAGUCAAGGAGAGGUAGGAGAUAAAUGCAGUAAGGAUGCUGAUACUCUUAAUGGAACUGAAAUCUAACAAGACUCUACGGUAGACAGAAUAAUGGACUCCAGAGAUGUCUACAUCCUAAAGCCCAGAAACAUAUGGCAAAAGGGACUUUGCAGAUGUGAUGAAGUUAAGGAUCUUGAGAUGGGGAGAUCCUUCGGAUUGUUGGCUUAACUUCUGACAUUCCUUCCCUCAGCCUCUUCAACUCUAUUAGAUUUAUUUAUUCACUCAUUUAUUAAUUCACUCAACCAGUAUUUACUAUAUAUAUUGAUAGAUCUGUUUUAGCAAAAGAAAAAGGAAGGAUAUGAAAGGGUAACUUUUACGUGUCUACGUAGUGUUUUUUAAGCCAUGGAAUUUUACUUUGGGGAUUUCUAGUGUUUUUUAAUUUAAAAGAUAGAAACAAAUAUUUUCUGAGAGAUACUCUGAGCCACACACUGUGGUAGAUACUGGAGAUAAAAGAAAAGUCUUGAACUACACACACACACAGUUUUAUAGGGGUGACAAAUGAACAGAGAAUCAGAUUGCCCCACCUCAAGCAAAUGUCACCAGGGAGGGAAGAAGGGUUUCGGUGGAGGCCCAGAGGGGGGAAUCUAACCCUGCCUGGAGGACAGCGUUGCGGUGGAGGGGUGGUGAGUAGAGAAUCCCAAAAGUAAUAUCUCCGUUGAGUAGUCUGAUCCUUAUCAAGCUUUGCCUAUCCCUGGCCUCGGGUGUUUUGCUAACCAGAGCCAGCUGUUUUGUGGAUGCCUUCUCCCCGCUGUCCUGCUGUCCCUGCCUAGUCCCUUCACUGGUCCCUGGCAUGACACAGGCAUUUUCAGGCCCUUUCCCAUGAAUCUGUUUAGAGCCAGCACCCCGUACAGCUCAAGAGGAGUCACAGCUCAUGGUGAGAUAAGGGAGGGACUUGGAAGAAAACAUGAUGAACGUGGACAAAGCCAAGGGGGAAAUAUGCAUGUUUUCAUUUGCUUUCCCCAAACAAGAUGCUUUCACACCACUUUCCAUAAUCCAAACAGUAUGUUUCUCCUUAACAUACUGUGAAGAUGUGGUGGCUAUCUGUUGUAAAGGCACACGAGACAUGUUUUUCUCCCAAGAUGGGGUUAGCACCCCUCCUGGUGCUCCCUUCAGCACCAUGUGCGCCCAUAUUUUAUAGAGUCUCUCAUACCCUAGCCCAAUCCCAUGACUGUCUGUGUUCUCCUAAGGACUCCUAAGAUCCUUCUAGAGCAGCCACCAGUCUUGUCUGAGGUUGUAUGGCACGUGCCCUGCACACAGGGAGUGCUCAAUAAAUAAUUGCUUAAUUGCACUGAAUACUGUAGAACAGUGUAGGUACUAGUUUGGGCAAAUUUUGAAACAUCUGAAGUCAAACUCUCAUUUUGGAAGGCUGAAAAAUCAUUUUCAAUUUUAAUUUAUUAUUUCUAAGAAAACAAAAAUGUUCCCACAAUUCUCAAAUUAAUAUUCACCAGUGACAUUUUCAACCUGAUUUGAGAGGCUGAGGAGGGAAUGUAGGUUGCGUACAUAAUAAAAAUUAUAUUUUAAUUGCCCUCUAACGUGUGGCUGUGUGUAAAGAAGAAACACAGGAUAUAUGAGGGAAAAAUGCUUUGAAAACUCCAAAGUGGGUUACAGAUGUUAGUUUAUGUUUUCACACAGCUAAAGCAGAAACUGCCUAUGCCCUCAGUCCCUUGCCGACUGAAGCAGACAUCAGUGUUUGGAUGGGAUACAGGCAUGGUGGGAGGAAUGGUUACUUUUUGCACAGAGAAUUCAAUUGUUCUGGGCUUAGCCAGGAUGCAGAUGGUUUUCCAUUGCUGGAAUUGGUCAGGGAUGGUGGGGGAAGCGCUUAGGCAUGGCUUUCACUGAAUUGGCUUGCAGGCUUUCAAGAAAUCUUUGAACAAUAACGCUGUUCAGGUACCUACUUGGAGAGGUCAACUGCUUGAUUCGUUUUUUUUUAAAUUCCCAUCAAACAAGUGACAGUGACACAUCUUGGUGCCAUUUCAUGCCAUCCCUGACUUCUCAGAAGCAGCUGGCGCCAGUUGUCUUCCCUGGCAGGGAUCGCUGGCCCUGGCUUUGCAACAGUCCAGAGAGCCUGCAGUUCUCCAGGGGAAUUGCAAAAUACUUUUAAAUAUUCUAAAAAUGAAAUUAAAUAUUCAUUUUAUUUUAAUUUACAUAUGCCAUCCAGUACUUUUAGAAGAUGUCAGUACUGUGGAAUGACAUGGCCAACCGUCGUAUGGUUCAGCUCUGAAAUGCAGCUGUGAGUUCUCAGCAUAAGACGCUGAUGGUCCUGUGUCCAGUGCUGUCCGAUUUUCACCUUGGCUAGUGUGCGGGUUAACCAAUAUUUAUCUUUCUGUGUGGCUGUAAAAAAUUUUACAGGUCCAAGAUGGGUCAGAUAUUAUUUCAUAAAGCCUUAUUCUAAUGAGUUCUAGUAAUUCUUAAUCUUUCUCAAAGAAAUAAUCGUCAAAUCUUCUCCAAUAACAAAAUAACGAAGCACAUUUUACAAUUGUAAGUUUUGGUGUGAGAAAACUAUUUCCUGGUCUCCAGGGUAUAGAAAGUAAACAUAUAGCAAACAAUUAGGAAUGUUAGAAUCAUGGUCGGGGAGGCAGACAUUCUGUGCAUCUCCAUCCCAAGCUCUCCACCUCAGAUUUCUUGCUCUUUUUUACUUUUUGCUUAAGCUUAUCUUGGUGUGUUGCCUGGGAGUUUAGAUGUUUUAUUAUAACACAAAAAAAUUACAUGAGACAAAGCCCAACUUGCUUUUCUUUUCCCUUCCAGUCCUAUUAUAACUUAGACAAAACUCAGCCAUUUUCUUCCAUUAUGGAGAAUGGCUACUGAAAAGGAAAGAUGUAGAAAAAAGAAAACUUUCAGGGAACAGUGAGAAACAAAUGCAUCAUGAUCUAUUUAACAGAGAACUGUGGGUAAGAGUCAUGCACAAGAACAUGGAAAUGGCUUCUUGAAAAUAUCUUUUUUUUUUCAAUUUUAAAAGGAAUGCAUGCACAUGGUAAACAAAAAUAAUUCAAAUUGUAAGAAAAAUACAAAACAAGAAGUAAAAAUUCUCUUCUC
This is a long non-coding RNA of Balaenoptera acutorostrata (minke whale), 3601 nucleotides long. RefSeq lists it as uncharacterized. The record is from RefSeq and is a predicted model, not a curated record. The transcript is spliced from 3 exons. Lineage: Eukaryota; Metazoa; Chordata; Mammalia; Artiodactyla; Balaenopteridae.